This 571-nucleotide ribosomal RNA is filed under the name uncultured bacterium. RNAcentral describes it as "bacterial SSU rRNA". It matches the Rfam family "Bacterial small subunit ribosomal RNA", at positions 8 to 573 of the family's 1533-position model. The record is from RNAcentral.
AGAGUUUGAUCCUGGCUCAGAAUGAACGCUGGCGGCGUGCCUAACACAUGCAAGUCGGAUGUGCCGCAAGGUGCAUGGCAGACGGGUGAGUAACGCGUGGGGAAUCUACCUUUUUGUGGGGAAUAACGUUCCGAAAGGAAUGGUAAUACCGCAUAAGACCAAUGGCUGGGAUGCUGUUGGUGAAAGCUGGGGACCGCAAGGCCUAGCGCGAGAAGAGGAUCCUGCGUCUGAUUAGCUAGUUGGUGAGGUAACGGCCCACCAAGGCAACGAUCAGUAGCCGGCCUGAGAGGGUGAUCGGCCACACUGGAACUGAGACACGGUCCAGACUCCUACGGGAGGCAGCAGUGGGGAAUUUUGCGCAAUGGGCGAAAGCCUGACGCAGCAACGCCGCGUGGGUGAUGAAGGUCUUCGGAUCGUAAAACCCUGUCGUCAGGGACGAAGGUUUGGGGGUUAAUAACCCUUAAGCUUGACGGUACCUGGAGAGGAAGCCCCGGCUAACUCUGUGCCAGCAGCCGCGGUAAUACAGAGGGGGCAAGCGUUAUUCGGAAUUAUUGGGCGUAAAGGGCGCGUA